AGCUAAGGUCCCAAAGUCAUGGUUAAGAGAAACGAUGUGGGAAGGCCCAGACAGCCAGGAUGUUGGCUUAGAAGCAGCCAUCGUUUAAAGAAAGCGUAAUAGCUCACUGGUCUAAUGGCUCUGCGCCGAAAAUGUAACGGGGCUAAGCAUGGUACCGAAGCUUUGGCAAUCUCCUUUGGAGAUUGGGUAGGGGAGCGUUCGCUGCGGGCUGAAGGUGUAUCGGAAGGUAUGCUGGACUGCAGUGAAGUGAUUAUGCUGACAUGAGUAACGAUAAAAUAUGUGAAAAACAUAUUCGCCGAAAACCCGAGGUUUCCUGGGUAAAGGUAAUCUUCCCAGGGUUAGUCGGAUCCUAAGGUGAGGGUGAAAGCCGUAACCGAUGGAAAACAGGUUAAUAUUCCUGUACUUGUUGUGUAGCGCGAUGGAGGGACGCAGGAAGAUAGGCGGGCCGGGUGUUGGAUAUCCCGGUGCAAGCGUGUAGGAAUAUCCGGUAGGCAAAUCCGCCGGACGAAUCUGAGACGCGAGUCCGUGGGCGCAAGCCCUGAAGCCGUUGAGUCUAUGCUGCCUAGAAAAGCUCCUAAGUUUAUCCACAGCAAUCCGUACCGCAAACCAACUCAGGUGGGUGGGAUGAACAAUCCAAGGCGCUCGAGAGAACUCUGGCCAAGGAACUCGGCAAAAUAACCCCGUAACUUCGGAAGAAGGGGUGCUCUCUAGGGUGACAUGUUUAACAUAUGAAGCCCCGGGGAGCCGCAGUGAAUUGGUGGUGGCGACUGUUUACUAAAAACAUAGGUCUGUGCGAAGUCCUAAAGACGACGUAUACGGACUGACGCCUGCCCGGUGCUGGAAGGUUAAAAGGAGGGGUCAGCGCAAGCAAAGCUCCGAAUUGAAGCCCCAGUAAACGGCGGCCGUAACUAUAACGGUCCUAAGGUAGCGAAAUUCCUUGUCGGGUAAGUUCCGACCUGCACGAAUGGCGUAACGAUCUCCACACUGUCUCGGCCAGAGACUCGGUGAAAUUGCAGUCGCGGUGAAAAUUCCGUGUACCCGCAGAAAGACGGAAAGACCCUGUGCACCUUUACUAUAGCUUGACAUUGGAUUUUGGGCCUGCAUGUGUAGGAUAGGUGGGAGGCUGUGAACCCUGUACGCCAGUAUGGGGGGAGCCAUCCUUGAAAUACCACCCUUGCAUGUUUAAGAUCCUAACUUCUUCCGGUUAUCCCGGAGAAAGACAGUGUCUGGCGGGUAGUUUGACUGGGGCGGUCGCCUCCUAAAGUGUAACGGAGGCAUGCAAAGGUUCCCUCAGCCUGAUCGGAAACCAGGCGCUGAGUGCAAACGCAUAAGGGAGCUUGACUGUAAGAGAGACAUCUCGAACAGGAACGAAAGUUGGCGUUAGUGAUCCGGUGGUCCCGAAUGGAAGGGCCAUCGCUCAUUGGAUAAAAGGUACGCCGGGGAUAACAGGCUGAUCGCAUCCAAGAGUUCACAUCGACGAUGCGGUUUGGCACCUCGAUGUCGGCUCAUCACAUCCUGGGGCUGAAGUAGGUCCCAAGGGUUGGGCUGUUCGCCCCUUAAAGUGGUACGUGAGCUGGGUUUAAAACGUCGUGAGACAGUUUGGUCCCUAUCUUCUGUGGGCGAAGGAGAAUUGAGAGGGCCUGUCCCUAGUACGAGAGGACCGGGAUGGACGCACCCCUGGUGAUCCUGUUGUCGCGCCAGCGGCAUAGCAGGGUAGCUAUGUGCGGAAGGGAUAACCGCUGAAAGCAUCUAAGCGGGAAGCCUGCCUCAAGAUAAGUUCUCCCCUCGAAAGAGCUGAAGGGCCCGGGUAGACUACCCGGUCGAUAGGCUGGAGGUGUAAGCGCGGCGACGUGCUCAGCUGACCAGUACUAAUAGCCCGAGCGGCUUAUUU
Molecule: ribosomal RNA, 1891 nt
Filed under: metagenome
Description: bacterial LSU rRNA
Rfam family: Bacterial large subunit ribosomal RNA
Source: RNAcentral